RNAcentral lists this ribosomal RNA (498 nucleotides) under uncultured soil bacterium. Its description in RNAcentral is "bacterial SSU rRNA". It matches the Rfam family "Bacterial small subunit ribosomal RNA", at positions 8 to 497 of the family's 1533-position model. The record is from RNAcentral.
AGAGUUUGAUCCUGGCUCAGGAUGAACGCUAGCGGCAGGCUUAAUACAUGCAAGUAGAAAAAAAAGCAUGUCCCGCAGCAAUGCGAGAUGAUGGCGACCGGCAAACGGGUGCGGAACACGUACACAACCUUCCUUUAAGUGGGGGAUAGCCCAGGGAAACUAAAAAUUAAUACCCCGUAACAUAAUGAAAAGGCAUCUUUUUAUUAUUAUAGUAGCAAUACGCUAAUUGAUGGGUGUGCGGCUGAUUAGGUAGUUGGCGGGGUAACGGCCCACCAAGCCGACGAUCAGUAACUGGUGUGAGAGCACGACCAGUCACACGGGCACUGAGACACGGGCCCGACUCCUACGGGAGGCAGCAGUAAGGAAUAUUGGUCAAUGGACGCAAGUCUGAACCAGCCAUGCCGCGUGGAGGAUGAAGGUCCUCUGGAUAGUAAACUUCUUUUAUCUGGGAAGAAAUCCAUUUUCUAAAAUGGUGACGGUCCCAGAGAAAACCCCGGC